GGUUCUCUGCAUAGCGCACAAGUCUUUCGCCUUUUACUAAAGACUUCCGUGCAGGGGAACAGUAA
RNAcentral lists this small nuclear RNA (65 nucleotides) under Tetraodon nigroviridis (spotted green pufferfish). RNAcentral's name for it is "U5 spliceosomal RNA (ENSTNIG00000020649.1)". It matches the Rfam family "U5 spliceosomal RNA", at positions 9 to 73 of the family's 117-position model. From Rfam's summary of the family: U5 RNA is a component of both types of known spliceosome. The precise function of this molecule is unknown, though it is known that the 5' loop is required for splice site selection and p220 binding, and that both the 3' stem-loop and the Sm site are important for Sm protein binding and cap methylation. The record is from RNAcentral. Lineage: Eukaryota; Metazoa; Chordata; Actinopteri; Tetraodontiformes; Tetraodontidae.